Molecule: ribosomal RNA, 329 nt
Filed under: uncultured eukaryote
Lineage: Eukaryota
Description: partial 18S ribosomal RNA
Rfam family: Eukaryotic small subunit ribosomal RNA
Source: RNAcentral
CCCUUAGAUGUUCUGGGCCGCACGCGCGCUACACUGACGAUGUCAACGAGUCUCUCCUUGGCCGAAAGGUCUGGGUAAUCUUCUGAAACAUUGUCGUGCUGGGGAUAGAUCAUUGCAAUUUUUGAUCUUGAACGAGGAAUUCCUAGUAAGCGCGAGUCAUCAGCUCGCGUUGAUUACGUCCCUGCCCUUUGUACACACCGCCCGUCGCUACUACCGAUUGAAUGGUUUAGUGAGGACUCCUGAUUGGCGCCGCCGCCCCGGCAACGGAGCAGUGGACUGCCGAAAAGUUGUUCAAACUUGAUCAUUUAGAGGAAGUAAAAGUCGUAACA